This 253-nucleotide ribosomal RNA is filed under the name uncultured bacterium. Its description in RNAcentral is "partial 16S ribosomal RNA". It matches the Rfam family "Bacterial small subunit ribosomal RNA", at positions 524 to 776 of the family's 1533-position model. The record is from RNAcentral.
UACAGAGGUCCCAAGCGUUGUUCGGAUUCACUGGGCGUAAAGGGUGCGUAGGCGGUCGGGUAAGUCUGAUGUGAAAGCUCGGAGCUUAACUCCGAAAUGGCAUUGGAUACUAUUCGGCUUGAGGAAUGGAGGGGAGACUGGAAUGCUCGGUGUAGCAGUGAAAUGCGUAGAUAUCGAGCGGAACACCAGUGGCGAAGGCGAGUCUCUGGACAUUUCCUGACGCUGAGGCACGAAAGCCAGGGGAGCAAACGGG